Molecule: long non-coding RNA, 496 nt
Filed under: Gossypium barbadense (sea-island cotton)
Lineage: Eukaryota; Viridiplantae; Streptophyta; Magnoliopsida; Malvales; Malvaceae
Description: long non-coding RNA (GBAR_LNC018696)
Source: RNAcentral
CUAGUCCCUUUAAGUCCUUGCUUGAACUUUGGGACUGGAUUGCUUUGAGAUGUUCAAUCGCCGUAGAAGGUGAACUCUCCACAAGGUUCAGAGCAUGAGCAAAGGAAAGCCGAGCCUGUGCCAAGUGAGAAAGAGAAGAAGUAACACAGUUGAGAAGCUCCAGUAAAUGCAAGCCGUAGUUAAGAUACUCAUCGAGGGAAGCAACAUCCCAGAAGCUCAAGGGGUAGUCUAUAUCCCCAACCAGCUUCAGAAACGCCUUGUUGGUAACAGGAAGUAACUCAAAAAAUCGCUGAAUCCAUGAAAAAGACAAGAUUUCUGAACCAGGUUUUGGAUGCAACAACUGAUUCACACAAUUCGAAACAUCAGACCGAAAAGCCUGUAGAGAAGCUGACAAAGCAUCAACCUCUGCUUGGUGGUGGUGGUGGUGGUGGUGGUGGUGGUAGUGAUUUUCCAGCUUGUGGUAUAAUUUACUAAGCCUUUGUACCAAGAGUACCAU